This 309-nucleotide long non-coding RNA is filed under the name Naja naja (Indian cobra). Its description in RNAcentral is "lncRNA (ENSNNAG00000015498.1)". The record is from RNAcentral. Lineage: Eukaryota; Metazoa; Chordata; Lepidosauria; Squamata; Elapidae.
UACACUUUUAUAAUUACAAUAUAUUCUUAUUACCAUUUCUUCAUGCAGAACCCACUACUCAGCAAUUGUAUGUGGUCUAAAAGGCAGCUGUGUAGUUGCCGAUGGUCAGUUCCAGUUCAGAGGAAUCACGUCCGUCUUGCAGGAACUUCAUUGGUUGCCAAAAGCAACUUUAACCUGGUACAUCCAUCCGUCUGCAAGACAGUGUUGGCUGGCGGUGCCCAGGGAAGGGCCUACUCUGUAGCGGCUCCUGCCUUGUGGAACCAACUCCCCAUGGGGCUCCAUUUGGCUCUGGAUCUCCACUCUUUCUGC